GAACACCUACUGUGGCAUUAUGAGCCUAUGUUCAUGUGACUAAGUCCAGCAGUGAAAAUGAAAACCCAGGUCAUAAUUCAGUCAUCCUUCAGGAAUCCAUCAGGAGAAAGAGGAGGAAAAAUGAAGCCCCAUCCAAGGAGCACAAAAGUCUGUACAGACUAAGGGAUGUGCCUGCAUGAGGGGGCCAUGAAUGCCUGUGGGAAGGUUUGUGUAAGGAUAGAACUCUUCAGUAUUGAAGUUUAUUGCACCUGCUUUCCUAAGCCCUAGAGCUACCAUGGCUGACUUUGGUGUAGAAAAAGUGGUGCAACAGCUCAAUCGAGGCAGAAGAUCUUGUUUAGCAACAAAAACAUCUGUAACAAGCAAUAUCAAAACAGUUUCUACUUUGAACAUUGAAUUAGAUUAUACAGAAGAUUAGAAAUUAGUGGGAUAUAUUUAGAAGUCACGCAAGGUGGUCGAAUCACUACAACGAUUUUCAAGACAAGAAGGUGAAAAAGCAAUUUGACCUGCAUGUACAGAUAUUUGUAGGAUACUUUGGAGAACCUGAAGAAUGAAUGUGGGCACCUUCCAUACCAAGGGAUUAAGUGAUGGACCUUACUGAGUCGAGGCCAGAGUCAGUUCCCUAAUGCCAGCAUUUGGUGUAAUUUUGCUGUCAUGGCGAAUCCUUCCUUGUCUCCUGCUGCUAAUUCAGAAGGGAAGAGGUCAUGAGUAUCUCUGCCAAUCCUGUGUAGAUGUCUCAGGUAAUCUAGGGCAAAUAAAAGGA
Cyanistes caeruleus (blue tit) is the source of this 760-nucleotide non-coding RNA. The record is from RefSeq and is a predicted model, not a curated record. Lineage: Eukaryota; Metazoa; Chordata; Aves; Passeriformes; Paridae.